This 69-nucleotide transfer RNA is filed under the name Entomacrodus strasburgi (Strasburg's blenny). Its description in RNAcentral is "tRNA-Ser". The record is from RNAcentral. Lineage: Eukaryota; Metazoa; Chordata; Actinopteri; Blenniiformes; Blenniidae.
AAGAGAGGCUCGCCAGCAACGGAAACUGCUAAUUUCCGCCCCCCUCAGUUGAACCCUGGGGCUCACUUG